AUGUGUUAUAGAGAAAAAAUGAAGUUGCUUGCACAAGGUGAUGCAGAUACUGCCAUUGGGAUCAUGAUGACCAGAAAAGAGAGAGAUCCAAAUUUCUUCUUUGAGCACACCGUCGAUGAUGAAGGAAGGCUGAAAAACAUAUUCUGGUGUGAUUCUCAAUCACGUCGAGACUAUGUUGACUACGGUGAUGUGACAGUCUUCGACAGCACAUACAGGAUGAAUAGGUAUGGCAUGCCAUUUAUACCUUUUGUCGGUCUGAACAACCAUCGUCGCACCACGGUAUUCGGUUGUGCUCUUGUGUCUGACGAGACGGAAGAUACAUAUGUCUGGCUGCUUCAGACGCUUUUGAGUGCUCACUGUCAGAAGAGGCCCAGGUCAGUAAUUACUGAUGGAGAUGCAGCUAUGAUUAAGGCCAUAAGAAAGGUACUUUCGGAGGUUUGGCAUCGUCUUUGCUCG
This 456-nucleotide ribosomal RNA is filed under the name Triticum aestivum (bread wheat). Its description in RNAcentral is "partial small subunit ribosomal RNA". The record is from RNAcentral. Lineage: Eukaryota; Viridiplantae; Streptophyta; Magnoliopsida; Poales; Poaceae.